Molecule: long non-coding RNA, 4098 nt
Organism: Cygnus olor (mute swan)
Lineage: Eukaryota; Metazoa; Chordata; Aves; Anseriformes; Anatidae
Exons: 4
Source: RefSeq, a predicted model, not a curated record
UAGACUGCCAUGAGUGAUCAGUUAUUAUGAUCCAUAAGCAUAUAAUAGACUCAGGCAUCUCUUGGUGAUGGGAAUGGCAGCUUGCGGUGUAGAGAACAGGAACACAUGGGCUGAUGUGAACACACUUUGUGCAUUAGUUGUCAGGUAUUCAUGUUUGACACUGUUCUCUCUGCAUUUAAGCAACCACAGGGAAGCAAGUUUUUUGGGCUGGGUACUAAUACCCAGGGAUGGUACCAUGUCUGCCACUCAGGAGAAGGUCUGCUAUGUAGAAUAAUGAGGAAAGCAUUCUCUGAAGUAGCUGGCAUAUGGGGUUUGGAAGCUCUCAGUUUGGAGAGGAACUUGAUUCUCAGUGCCUUGGUCACCUGUUAGCUCCUGAACCCUCAAAGCUUGGUUUAAAUUUCCCAGAGAUAUUUGAUAAGCAGUCUGUGUAGUUACUUUUUUUUUUUUUUUUUUUUUUUUUUUCCCAGCUCAUCUGUCGCUAUCCUCUCUCAUCUCACCUUUAAGAGAGAUAUGUGGCUUUUGUUGUUGUUUUAUUUCUGUUGUAGACAGUACUGCCCUUCUUUGUGCUAACUGCUGCAGGCAUGCUGAAAUCUGUACUGGUUGUAUGGCAUUGACUUUCUUCAUAGCAGAUUGCACGAUGCUUUGCUUUUGACCUAUGACCAAAACAGUGUUGAUAACACACUGUUGUUCUAUCUGUUGCUGAGCAGUGCUUGCAUAGCAUUGAGGUCUUCUCUGCUUCUUACACUGUCCCACCAAGAAGGAGGUUCGUGGUGCACAAGAAGCUGCGAGGGGGCACAGCCAGGACAGCUGGCCCAAACUGCCCAAAGGGAUGUCCUGUACCAUAUGAUGUGUUCAGCAGUAAAAGCUGAAGGACAGAAGGAGAGGAGGGGAGUAUCUGAAGUGAUGGUGUUUUCUUCCUAAUUAACUAAGUGUGCCCUGCCUUGAUGUCACUUGCAGCUUUUAAUUUACCUGUUAAACUCUCUUUAUCUUGAUUUACAAGUCUUCAACCUUUCUUCUACAAACGGGUGUGUGAGCUGUUGACCAGGGUCAAACCACAACAAAAUAGUUCACCUUUAUUUUUCACAGAUUAGUGGAAGAUGCAAAGAUUUUUAUGCAUGACUCUGCUUUGUGGCUUACUUCUCCAAAGUAAAAGCAUGCUGUUCUUAAUCCUAGUUAUUAAUGAUUGCCUAUGAAUACACUUAUCACUAGACAAGGCAUAAGGAAAAAACUAGCAACAUUACUCUUCUCAGGUAAAAUAAAAGUUCAGUAACUUAUUUUCCUACCCCCCAAAAAAACAACCAAGAAUUACAAAGGAACAGCCUAUGCAGUUUCUAUGUGUGAUAUUUUCUGAAUAGCAUGAUAUUCAGAAGUUGCUUCCCAGAUUUUUUUUUUGGUGCAGCUGAAGGGGGACAGUUCCCUUCUCUUAGAGAGAACCAUAUUUCCAUGUGUGGUUCUAAGGCUAUGAUUCAUGUACUAUCAAUAAAUAUGACGUACAGUCAGAUGAAUCAGGGGUGGAAGAGCUCAGAAUAUGGGAUACAGAAGGCAAGAUGGUUAGUCUGUGGGAUUGCCCAGCCAUGGGGCUGUCGGAGGUCCAUGUUCUUUGAUGUUUUUAUUUAGGAUGAUGGACUCCAAUAAAUUGUUCAUAUAUUGCUGGCGCCUAUUUCAGUUCUGAAGUCAUGCUGAGAUAAUGCCAUAAAAAUGCUAACUGUCUCCAGAAUAGCUCUUCUAGGUUCCUAUUGCAAUUACUAAAGUAAACAUCCGUUUCAGAGUUGUUGCUUCUAGACAGAGAUUUGUUUGUUUGUUUAUUUAUUUAUUUAUUUAUUUAUUACACAGGACACAGGCUUUGGAAUGGAUAAACAAGAGACUGCCUCAUUCACAGACCUUGUUUCUGAUGUGUUUUGUAAUAACAUUACAGAGUUCUAUGGACUUGCCGCACAAGAAUAAAGGAAGGUUGAGUUCAGCACUGUGAUAUGUUUGGUGGGGGAAGAAGUACUGGUGCAAAGGAAGAUGGCACAACCAUGAAGCAGGCAGCUUUUAUGGAUGCUUCCUUUGUUCAAGGAUUUAUUUAUAUUCUUGACAGUCUUUAUAUGGGAUUUUGCCAGUCAGAUCACAUUUCGUGAAGGAUCUGGGGAGGCAGCCAGACAUCAGAGGCCAAACAAAUCUGCUUGGCCAGGGGGAUUUUAAGGAAAAGGCAGUCAUCUGCUUAAGAAUGAAACAAAGAAAUUUGUGAUGAUGUAAUCAAUAACUGGUUAAGCUAGACUCAAAAUGAAAAGAAUGAGUUUUAAUCACUUCUUUGGAUCACCAGUUUAUUCUAUAUCUGUUCUUCAGAAGUAUCUUUCAGAAUAAGGUUAAUUUUUUUUUCCUACUAUUACAAUGAACUUGAGCAAAAAUUGUGAUCAUUCUCAGUCUUAGAAAGUAAGCCUUCAAUUUCUCCCUGCGUUUCCCAGCAUUCUCACCCUCUUUGCCAUACCACGUCUUCCAGAAAUAAAUGAAAGGUGAUUAAUUGCCACUCAUGACUACAACAUUGGAAGUAGAAUAACAUUACAACCCUUUUUUGAAGGACAGAAGGCACAUGUCUCCCCUCAGAACAUGGCUUCUGGAAGGCAUGUUUUUAAUCUGCUUUCUACAGAUUGAACACUCUUUCCUCUUCACCACUACAUUUAAAAUUUUAAGGGUGAGGGAGGAGAAAUUUUCUCAGUCCUCUACCACUAUAUGGUUUCAAAUGAUGUCUUGUGGCACCCUGGUGAUGAUGAGAGAGUGAAAGGCUCAGAUUCAUUUAGUCUUAAGACUGCUGAGGGUGAUGUUCAGAGAAAGAACCUAACCCUUACCAAAAUUCCUGUCUGUGCUUCAGAACCAAGGUCCUGGUAUGUUUUCUACAAUGCCUUCUAUAUUGAUAGAGAGACAGACAGACUGAGAGAUCUUUCUGAUGCCAUGAAAGCCAUACAUAUGGGAGAAUCUGUGUGUAUAUCUGUGUACAUAUCUAUCUGUCUACUUACCUAUCUCUAGCUAUCUAUAUAUCUAUAGAUAAAAGCAUAAAAAAAAAUAAUAGGUAGAUAAAUAGCUAACCAUACAGGCAAUGACAUAAGUUCACAUGGCCAAAACACAAAGUUGAUCAUCUAGCUCAUUUUUCCUCACAAACUCAGAACUAGAAGAGACAUUUCUACUAACACAGACUUUCGCACAUUCAUGCAAACAGCCAAAAAGAACAUGAAAAAUUUUAACUUUAUUAUUGCCAAAAUGAACCUAUGAUGGCAAGGGUGAUGCUGCCUUGAAAGUCCAGCAUACGCUUUGUCUUUAGGAUGGUCAUUCAACUUACGGGUAAUAACCUAAAAAUCAGGUACUAAUGAUCUCACUCUAUCCAUAUAUUGGCCUUGAAGUGAGACAAUUAACCAUAUGGCCUGACAAAUAUAGAUGGUGACUUAUUUUAUGUUACAUAUGUUACAUGACUUUGCAAUGAAUAAGUGCUUUACAUAGUGUCAGAGCAGAGCAUCAAUAAGCACUGCAAAGCAUUCUGUCUUCUAAAAAAACUAACAUUUUAAGUAGAUAUGCCUUGCUGGCUUUCAAGGUCUCCAGACCAAUAACCCUGAAAGAAAAGGAGAGCUGUAAUUAAGAUUUAGUAAGAAUUUACUGCAGAGGCAUUCAGUGACUUUGCAGGCUUAAGAAAAAGCUGUAUAUUUUGAAGGUCAGGAGCACUACCAAGAACCACUCUCCAGUGACUUUUUAAGCUUUUAUACAGUGCAAUUUGAGAAACAAGAUAAGCUGUCUUGUUCUCUGUUCUUUCUUGUGAGCUGCAGUUCAACAUCUUGGGGCACUGAGCUUCUGAAGGAAAGGAACGCAAACAGAAGGUGAGUCUAGAGAGAAGAGAUUGAUCUCACCCUGAUGAUGACAUAGAUGAUUUAGAGAUCUGAAGUAACCUGAGGGCUAAUGCUACAGAAGUAUGUGGAGAAAACCCACAAGCAAAGCUUAUAUUUCAUGACUUUCCUACCUGCUGAUAACAUAAACUGAAUAUCUCACGCAGACAGGUAGAGGGGCUAUAAAGAAUCUACAGCCUAGAGUUUCUUGCAUCUCCAAAGAAUAGCACAGGACAGUUAAUUUUGG